Molecule: ribosomal RNA, 253 nt
Filed under: uncultured bacterium
Lineage: Bacteria
Description: partial 16S ribosomal RNA
Rfam family: Bacterial small subunit ribosomal RNA
Source: RNAcentral
GACGGAGGAUGCAAGCGUUAUCCGGAAUUAUUGGGCGUAAAGCGUCCGCAGGUGGCCAUACAAGUCUGCUGUCAAAGUGCAGAGCUUAACUCUGUAAAGGCGGUGGAAACUGUAGGUCUUGAGUAUGGUAGGGGUAGAGGGAAUUCCCGGUGUAGCGGUGAAAUGCGUAGAUAUCGGGAAGAACACCAGUGGCGAAAGCGCUCUACUGGGCCGUAACUGACACUGAGGGACGAAAGCUAGGGGAGCGAAAGGG